GAUGAACGCUGGCGGCGUGCUUAACACAUGCAAGUCGAACGAAGCAGUCAUUAAGAAGCAUUUCGGUGCAGAUUGAUGACUGACUGAGUGGCGGACGGGUGAGUAACGCGUGGAUAACCUGCCUCAUACAGGGGGAUAACAGUUAGAAAUGACUGCUAAUACCGCAUAAGCGCACAGAAUCGCAUGAUUCAGUGUGAAAAACUCCGGUGGUAUGAGAUGGAUCCGCGUCUGAUUAGCUAGUUGGAGGGGUAACGGCCCACCAAGGCAACGAUCAGUAGCCGGCCUGAGAGGGCGACCGGCCACAUUGGGACUGAGACACGGCCCAAACUCCUACGGGAGGCAGCAGUAGGGAAUUUUUCGCAAUGGGGGGAACCCUGACGGAGCAAUGCCGCGUGAGUGAAGAAGGUCUUCGGAUUGUAAAGCUCUGUUGUACAGGAAGAAUGUCAAUAGUAGGAAAUGGCUAUUGAGUGACGGUACUGUACCAGAAAGGGACGGCUAACUACGUGCCAGCAGCCGCAGUAACAC
This 525-nucleotide ribosomal RNA is filed under the name uncultured bacterium. Its description in RNAcentral is "bacterial SSU rRNA". It matches the Rfam family "Bacterial small subunit ribosomal RNA", at positions 28 to 526 of the family's 1533-position model. The record is from RNAcentral.